RNAcentral lists this ribosomal RNA (490 nucleotides) under uncultured bacterium. RNAcentral's name for it is "partial 16S ribosomal RNA". It matches the Rfam family "Bacterial small subunit ribosomal RNA", at positions 30 to 507 of the family's 1533-position model. The record is from RNAcentral.
AUUGAACGCUGGCGGCAGGCCUAACACAUGCAAGUCGAACGGUAACAGGAAGAAGCUUGCUUCUUUGCUGACGAGUGGCGGACGGGUGAGUAAUGUCUGGGAAACUGCCUGAUGGAGGGGGAUAACUACUGGAAACGGUAGCUAAUACCGCAUAAUGUCGCAAGACCAAAGAGGGGGAUCUUCGGGCCUCUUGCCAUCGGAUGUGCCCAGAUGGGAUUAGCUAGUAGGUGGGGUAACGGCUCACCUAGGCGACGAUCCCUAGCUGGUCUGAGAGGAUGACCAGCCACACUGGAACUGAGACACGGUCCAGACUCCUACGGGAGGCAGCAGUGGGGAAUAUUGCACAAUGGGCGCAAGCCUGAUGCAGCUAUGCCGCGUGUAUGAAGAAGGCCUUCGGGUUGUAAAGUACUUUCAGCGGGGAGGAAGGGAGUAAAGUUAAUACCUUUGCUCAUUGACGUUACCCGCAGAAGAAGCACCGGCUAACUCCGUG